GGGAUUCGCUAGCGGCGCCCUCUAGUGGCGUUUCGCGGAGCCUUGGCGGAAACCCUACUGGGAGCCGGUGUGUCCCCCAGUAACAUUUGCAAAUGAAAGAAGAGGCGACCUGAUGUCUAAUGAUGACACUGCUCUUAUGACCAAAGGAAUGUGAGCUCGUAUAUUCUUUUAGAAUUUCCUAAGGCACUCAUGAAAGGUGGCCGGGUACCACUGUAUCAAUGGCCCAGUUGCCCAUCUCCUGGCGAGAGAUUUCCCUAAGUGACCUGGAAGUGUCACUAUUACCACCGCCCCACAUGAAUCUUGUGCUGGAGGCGACUAGAGCUGUGUGUCCCUCAGCAGAAGCAGGUGGCAUAAGCAAGAGUUCCAUUUUGGUUUCAUUUUCAGAGGACCCCAAUUGCGCAGUCUGCAAGAAAUAAUGUGCCUCUCAGGAUGGUUCCAAGCUGAGCCCAAAUCACUGAGGGAGAUUCACUGCUUGCUAACAUGAACUUUAUUCCUGGAUAAACAAGUCCCAAACCGUCUUGUCCAUAUGCCACCACGGUCAGGUCAAAACACACAUUAUCAGCUGGGUGCGGUGGCUCACGCUUGUAAUCCCAGCACUUCGGGAGGCCGAGGUGGGCGGAUCACUUGAGGUCAGGAGUUGGAGAUCAGCCUGGCCAACAUGGUGAAACCCCGUCUCUACUAAAAAUACAAAAAUUAGCCGGGCGUGGUGGUACGUGUCUGUAGUCCCAGGUACUCAGAAGGCUGAAGACAUGAGAAUCGCUUGAACCCAGGGGGCGGAGGUUGCUGAGCUGAGAUCAUGCCACUGCACUCGAGCCUGGACAACAGAGUGAGAUCCUAUGCCAAAAACAAACAAUAAAAACCAACAACAAAAAA
RNAcentral lists this long non-coding RNA (873 nucleotides) under Homo sapiens (human). RNAcentral's name for it is "SAT1 divergent transcript, transcript variant 5 (SAT1-DT)". Lineage: Eukaryota; Metazoa; Chordata; Mammalia; Primates; Hominidae. The record is from RNAcentral.